This 446-nucleotide ribosomal RNA is filed under the name uncultured Chloroflexota bacterium. RNAcentral describes it as "bacterial SSU rRNA". It matches the Rfam family "Bacterial small subunit ribosomal RNA", at positions 923 to 1382 of the family's 1533-position model. Lineage: Bacteria; Bacillati; Chloroflexota. The record is from RNAcentral.
GCACAAGCAGCGGAGCGUGUGGUUUAAUUCGAUGCAACACGAAGAACCUUACCAGGGUUUGACAUACUAGAAGUAGGGACCCGAAAGGGCGACAAACUGUUAAGUCAGUAGCUAGAACAGGUGCUGCAUGGCUGUCGUCAGCUCGUGCCGUGAGGUGUUCGGUUAAGUCCUGCAACGAGCGCAACCCUCGUCGCUAGUUGUUUUCUCUAGCGAUACUGCCCGUAUAACGUGGAGGAAGGUGGGGAUGACGUCAAGUCAGCAUGGCCCUUACAUCCUGGGCUACACACACGCUACAAUGGGUGAUACAACAGGUUGCAAUAGAGUAAUCUGGAGCCAAUCCCUAAAAUCAUCCUCAGUACGGAUUGCAGGCUGCAACUGCCUGCAUGAAGUUGGAGUUGCUAGUAAACGCAGGUCAGCACACUGCGUUGAAUACGUUCUCGGGCCUU